RNAcentral lists this unclassified non-coding RNA (21 nucleotides) under synthetic construct. The record is from RNAcentral.
AUCGAAUUCCUGCAGCCCGUU